Molecule: unclassified non-coding RNA, 418 nt
Filed under: soil metagenome
Description: partial contains 5.8S ribosomal RNA, internal transcribed spacer 2, and large subunit ribosomal RNA
Rfam family: 5.8S ribosomal RNA (bases 1-120)
Source: RNAcentral
GAUGAAGAACGUAGCGAAAUGCGAUAAGUAAUGUGAAUUGCAGAAUUCAGCGAAUCAUCGAAUCUUUGAACGCAUCUUGCGCUCCUUGGUAUUCCUUGGAGCAUGCCUGUUUGAGUAUCAUGAGCAAAUCUCAAAGUCAAUUCCUUUUGUUGAUUCAAUUGGUUUUGCUUUGGACUUGGAGGCCUUGCAGAUUUCACAGUCUGCUCCUCUUAAAUGCAUUAGCUGGAUCUCAGUAAUUAUGCUUGGUUCCACUCGGCGUGAUAAGUAUCACUCGCUGAGGACACUGUUAAAAAGGUGGCCAGGAAAAUACUGAUUGAACCGCUUCUAACGGUCUAUUAAGUUAGACAAUUACCCUUAAGUUUGAUCUCAAAUCAGGUAGGACUACCCGCUGAACUUAAGCAUAUCAAUAAGCGGAGGA